AGUGGCGAACGGGUGAAUACACGUUGGUACCUGCCCGAAGUGGGGAAAGGUGGGGGACACCACGGCUAAUACCCGGAUGUNAAGAGAUUAGACAUCUUUAACUANAGAUCCGGCGCCUCGUGAGGAGGCCUGCGGGCUAUCAGCUUGUUGGUGGGGUAACAGCCUACCAAGGCUAAGACGGCUAGGAGGCGUGAGAGCGCGACCCCCCACAAUGGAACUGAGAAACGGUCCAUACUCCGUACGGGAGGCAGCAGUGAGGAAUAUUGCACAAUGGGGGAAACCCUGAUGCAGCAACGCCGCGUGAACGAUGAAGGCCUUCGGGUUGUAAAGUACUUUUCUGGGGGACGAUAGUGACGGUACCUCAGGAAUAAGUCCCGGCUAACUACGUGCCAGCAGCCGCGGUAAAACGUAGGGGGCGAGCGUUAUCCGGAUUUAUUGGGCGUAAAGCGCACAGUAGGCAGCGUUGUAAGUUGGACGUGAAAGCUCCCGGUUCAACUGGGAGAGGUCGUUCAAAACUACAGUGCUCGAGGUUGGAAAAGGAGAGUAGAAUUCCCGGUGUAGUGGUGGAAUGCGUAGAUAUCGGGAGGAAUACCAGUGGCGAAAGCGAAUCUCUGGUCCA
Molecule: ribosomal RNA, 619 nt
Filed under: uncultured organism
Description: bacterial SSU rRNA
Rfam family: Bacterial small subunit ribosomal RNA
Source: RNAcentral